Molecule: long non-coding RNA, 671 nt
Organism: Vespa velutina
Lineage: Eukaryota; Metazoa; Arthropoda; Insecta; Hymenoptera; Vespidae
Exons: 3
Source: RefSeq, a predicted model, not a curated record
UGUAAUCGACAGCCUUUGUAGACCACCUACUACAAUUUCCAUAAGAAUCGCUCUUAAAUGGCCAAAGUAUAACGACAAUUAUGCACGAAGGGAUUAAUCGGGUCGAUGCUUGAUAACAAGGAAGAAGGAAUACGUGUAUAUUUUGCGAUCUCUUUCUAACCUCACUACGAAUACCUCACGAAAAGCGAUGUUUUCAGGAAUUUACGGGAUGUCAAUCGAUUUAUCACGUAAGGUGAAAAACGAAAUGAGGAAGAAAUGGAUAAAGGAAAAAAAAAAAAAGAAAAAAAAGAUAAAAACUUUUAGAACAUUACCUGUUGCAAGAAGGCUCGAGAGAUAGCCAACCGGUCAAUCGGAUGAAAAUGUCGACGAACAUAAUUUUGAACGAAUGAUAGCCUUAUCUCUCUCUCUCUCUCUCUCUCCCUUUCUCUCUCUCUCUCUCUCUCUCUCUCUCUCUCUCUCUCUCGAUAGUUUACAUCUCAAAAUGUAUAGAAUGUUUCUUAAAAAAAAUGUCUUUCAAGGUGAUUCAAAUUCAUGUUUUAGAGGCACAUUAGAUUAGACAUCGAAAUAAGUAAAGUUAUUAUCAAUAGAAUAAUACGUUUGUCUCUUUCGCACGUACACGUGUUACCGUCGAUGCGUGAAAAUGCUGCCACUUUCUCGCGUGCAUGCGUGAU